RNAcentral lists this ribosomal RNA (312 nucleotides) under uncultured bacterium. RNAcentral describes it as "bacterial SSU rRNA". It matches the Rfam family "Bacterial small subunit ribosomal RNA", at positions 28 to 334 of the family's 1533-position model. The record is from RNAcentral.
GACGAACGCUGGCGGCGCGCCUAACACAUGCAAGUUGAACGAGCGAGAGAGAGCUUGCUUUCUCGAGCGAGUGGCGAACGGGUGAGUAACGCGUGAGGAACCUGCCUCAAAGAGGGGGACAACAGUUGGAAACGACUGCUAAUACCGCAUAAGCCCACAGGUCGGCAUCGACCAGAGGGAAAAGGAGCAAAUCCGCUUUGAGAUGGCCUCGCGUCCGAUUAGCUGGUUGGUGAGGUAACGGCCCACCAAGGCGACGAUGCGUAGCCGACCUGAGAGGGUGACCGGCCACACUGGGACUGAGACACGGCCCAG